This 253-nucleotide ribosomal RNA is filed under the name uncultured bacterium. RNAcentral's name for it is "partial 16S ribosomal RNA". It matches the Rfam family "Bacterial small subunit ribosomal RNA", at positions 524 to 776 of the family's 1533-position model. The record is from RNAcentral.
UACGUAGGGUGCGAGCGUUAAUCGGAAUUACUGGGCGUAAAGCGUGCGCAGGCGGUUUUGUAAGCCAGCUGGGAAAUCCCCGGGCUUAACCUGGGAAUGGCAUUUGGGACUGCAAGGCUCGAGUGCGGCAGAGGAGACUGGAAUUCCUGGUGUAGCAGUGAAAUGCGUAGAUAUCAGGAGGAACACCGAUGGCGAAGGCAGGUCUCUGGGCUGACACUGACGCUCAUGCACGAAAGCGUGGGGAGCAAACAGG